GGCGGGUUAGCAAAGCGGUUAUGCAGCGGAUUGCAAAUCCGUUUAGCUCGGUUCGACUCCGGGACCCGCCU
Molecule: transfer RNA, 71 nt
Filed under: beta proteobacterium AAP99
Lineage: Bacteria; Pseudomonadati; Pseudomonadota; Betaproteobacteria
Rfam family: tRNA
About the family: Transfer RNA (tRNA) molecules are approximately 80 nucleotides in length. Their secondary structure includes four short double-helical elements and three loops (D, anti-codon, and T loops).
Source: Rfam by way of RNAcentral